This 999-nucleotide ribosomal RNA is filed under the name Klebsiella variicola. RNAcentral describes it as "bacterial SSU rRNA". It matches the Rfam family "Bacterial small subunit ribosomal RNA", at positions 68 to 1061 of the family's 1533-position model. The record is from RNAcentral. Lineage: Bacteria; Pseudomonadati; Pseudomonadota; Gammaproteobacteria; Enterobacterales; Enterobacteriaceae.
GGUAGCACAGAGAGCUUGCUCUCGGGUGACGAGCGGCGGACGGGUGAGUAAUGUCUGGGAAACUGCCUGAUGGAGGGGGAUAACUACUGGAAACGGUAGCUAAUACCGCAUAACGUCGCAAGACCAAAGUGGGGGACCUUCGGGCCUCAUGCCAUCAGAUGUGCCCAGAUGGGAUUAGCURGUAGGUGGGGUAACGGCUCACCUAGGCGACGAUCCCUAGCUGGUCUGAGAGGAUGACCAGCCACACUGGAACUGAGACACGGUCCAGACUCCUACGGGAGGCAGCAGUGGGGAAUAUUGCACAAUGGGCGCAAGCCUGAUGCAGCCAUGCCGCGUGUGUGAAGAAGGCCUUCGGGUUGUAAAGCACUUUCAGCGGGGAGGAAGGCGGUGAGGUUAAUAACCUCAUCGAUUGACGUUACCCGCAGAAGAAGCACCGGCUAACUCCGUGCCAGCAGCCGCGGUAAUACGGAGGGUGCAAGCGUUAAUCGGAAUUACUGGGCGUAAAGCGCACGCAGGCGGUCUGUCAAGUCGGAUGUGAAAUCCCCGGGCUCAACCUGGGAACUGCAUUCGAAACUGGCAGGCUAGAGUCUUGUAGAGGGGGGUAGAAUUCCAGGUGUAGCGGUGAAAUGCGUAGAGAUCUGGAGGAAUACCGGUGGCGAAGGCGGCCCCCUGGACAAAGACUGACGCUCAGGUGCGAAAGCGUGGGGAGCAAACAGGAUUAGAUACCCUGGUAGUCCACGCUGUAAACGAUGUCGAUUUGGAGGUUGUGCCCUUGAGGCGUGGCUUCCGGAGCUAACGCGUUAAUCGACCGCCUGGGGAGUACGGCCGCAAGGUUAAAACUCAAUGAAUUGACGGGGGCCCGCACAAGCGGUGGAGCAUGUGGUUUAAUUCGAUGCACGCGAAGAACCUUACCUGGGUCUUGACAUCCACAGAACUUUCCAGAGAUGGAUUGGUGCCUUCGGGAACUGUGAGACAGUGCUGCAUGGCUGUCGUCAGCUC